This is a long non-coding RNA of Vigna angularis (adzuki bean), 181 nucleotides long. RefSeq lists it as uncharacterized. Lineage: Eukaryota; Viridiplantae; Streptophyta; Magnoliopsida; Fabales; Fabaceae. The record is from RefSeq and is a predicted model, not a curated record. The transcript is spliced from 3 exons.
CUUAGCCAGUUGGGCUGUUCACAGAGGAUGAUUGUAGAUGAUGCAUAUAGUAUUGAUUUGAAGAAAAUUAUUGAACGGGCUCAAAAUGAAGAGGUUGAGUCAAUUGUGUUGAAAAGGUAUGGAAGGGAUGCAUACUGAAUGUUCAGGCUACUGUCAAAGGAUGGUUGUUUUCAUGACACAG